UUGGAGGGCAAGUCUGGUGCCAGCAGCCGCGGUAAUUCCAGCUCCAAUAGCGUAUAUUAAAGUUGUUGCAGUUAAAAAGCUCGUAGUUGAAUUUCGAGACCGGUCUACUGGUCGUGCUUUUGUACGUACUGGUUUUAUUGGUUUCUCCUUUCUGACGAACUAUAAUGCCAUUAAUUUGGUGUUAUGGGGAAUCAGGACUGUCACUUUGAAAAAAUUAGAGUGUUUAAAGCAGGCUCACGCUUGAAUACAUUAGCAUGGAAUAACGGAAUAGGACGUUUGAUUCUAUUUUGUUGGUUUCUAGGAUCGACGUAAUGAUUAAUAGGGAUAGUUGGGGGCAUUAGUAUUCAAUUGUCAGAGGUGAAAUUCUUGGAUUUAUUGAAGACUAACUACUGCGAAAGCAUUUGCCAAGGAUGUUUUCAUUAAUCAAGAACGAAAGUUAGGGGAUCGAAGACGAUCAGAUACCGUCGUAGUCUUAACCAUAAACUAUGCCGACUAGGGAUCGGAUGAUGUUAAUUUUUUAAUGACUCAUUCGGCGCCUUACGGGAAAC
RNAcentral lists this ribosomal RNA (548 nucleotides) under uncultured Glomeromycotina. Its description in RNAcentral is "SSU rRNA". It matches the Rfam family "Eukaryotic small subunit ribosomal RNA", at positions 548 to 1098 of the family's 1831-position model. Lineage: Eukaryota; Fungi; Glomeromycota. The record is from RNAcentral.